GUCCUCCGGGCAGUUCUGGUGUCUGCUUUGCUGAAAUCGAGUCCCUCACUUCAGAGCUUAAUGGAGAUGGUCUUCGUUACAAGUGUCUGGGAGGCAGCGUAAGCUAACUUCACUAGUUCCAGUGCUGGCACAAUUUAGGAAUCAAGAAAUAGCAGGAGGAGGUCCUAAAAUGGUUCCAAGAAGCUUUGAGGAUCUAAGAAAAGGAAAGAAGACUUAACGAGGACAUGGAAAGCAGGGCAGGCCUCUCUGAGGAACUGACAUUCCAGCUGAGACCUGAAGGAUGAGUAGGAGCCAGGCAGAAUUGAGAAGGAGAGGGGAAAGGGAAAAUCCUGUGCCAGUGCCCUGAGGUUGAAAUAUGCUUCCUGUUGUUUAAGAAAUUAAAAGGCCA
Lemur catta (Ring-tailed lemur) is the source of this 388-nucleotide long non-coding RNA. RefSeq lists it as uncharacterized. NCBI's taxonomy places the organism in Eukaryota, Metazoa, Chordata, Mammalia, Primates, Lemuridae. The record is from RefSeq and is a predicted model, not a curated record. The transcript has 4 exons.